Molecule: non-coding RNA, 102 nt
Organism: Vitis vinifera (wine grape)
Lineage: Eukaryota; Viridiplantae; Streptophyta; Magnoliopsida; Vitales; Vitaceae
Source: Rfam
UGGAUAUUAUCCAUAAUGUUGGAUGCGGGUCAUUACAGAGAAGAUUAACAUGGUCCUUACAGAAGGAUGAUAUGCACAAAUCAAGAAAUGGUCCAAAUUUUU